GACGAACGCUGGCGGCGUGCUUAACACAUGCAAGUCGAACGGUAAGGCCCUUCGGGGUACACGAGUGGCGAACGGGUGAGUAACACGUGGGUGAUCUGCCCUGCACUUCGGGAUAAGCCUGGGAAACUGGGUCUAAUACCGGAUAGGACUCCGGACUGCAUGGUCUGGGGUGGAAAGCUUUUGCGGUGUGGGAUGGGCCCGCGGCCUAUCAGCUUGUUGGUGGGGUGAUGGCCUACCAAGGCGACGACGGGUAGCCGGCCUGAGAGGGUGACCGGCCACACGGGGACUGAGAUACGGCACAGACUCCUACGGGAGGCAGCAGUGGGGAAUAUUGCACAAUGGGCGCAAGCCUGAUGCAGCGACGCCGCGUGAGGGAUGACGGCCUUCGGGUUGUAAACCUCUUUCAGCACAGACGAAGCGCAAGUGACGGUAUGUGCAGAAGAAGGACCGGCCAACUACGUGCCAGCAGCCGCCGCAG
RNAcentral lists this ribosomal RNA (478 nucleotides) under uncultured bacterium. Its description in RNAcentral is "partial 16S ribosomal RNA". It matches the Rfam family "Bacterial small subunit ribosomal RNA", at positions 28 to 523 of the family's 1533-position model. The record is from RNAcentral.